AUUGAACGCUGGCGGCAGGCCUAACACAUGCAAGUCGAGCGAGCGGCGGACGGGUGAGUAAUGUAUGGGGACUGCCCGAUAGAGGGGGAUAACUCCUGGAAACGGUAGCUACUACCGACUCCAAUUUGAUAACACAUAUGGGAUUAGCUAGUAGGUGAGGUAAUGGCUCACCUAGGCGACGAUCCCUAGCUGGUCUGAGAGGAUGAUCAGCCACACUGGGACUGAGACACGGCCCAGACUCCUACGGAGGCAGCAGUGGGGAAUAUUGCACAAUGGGCGCAAGCCUGAUGCAGCCAUGCCGCGUGUAUGAAGAAGGCCCUCGGGUUGUAAAGUACUUGCAGCCGGGAGGCGUUACCGGCAGAAGAAGCACCGGCUAACUCCGUGCCAGCAGCCGCGGUAAUAC
Molecule: ribosomal RNA, 403 nt
Filed under: uncultured bacterium
Lineage: Bacteria
Description: partial 16S ribosomal RNA
Rfam family: Bacterial small subunit ribosomal RNA
Source: RNAcentral